This 671-nucleotide ribosomal RNA is filed under the name uncultured bacterium. RNAcentral describes it as "bacterial SSU rRNA". It matches the Rfam family "Bacterial small subunit ribosomal RNA", at positions 165 to 852 of the family's 1533-position model. The record is from RNAcentral.
AAUACCGCAUACGAUCUUCUGAAGGCAUCUUCGGAAAAAGAAAGGAAAUAUUCGGUAAAAGAUGGGCCCGCAUCUGAUUAGCUAGUUGGUGAGAUAAUAGCCCACCAAGGCAACGAUCAGUAGCCGACCUGAGAGGGUGACCGGCCACAUUGGGACUGAGACACGGCCCAAACUCCUACGGGAGGCAGCAGUGGGGAAUAUUGCACAAUGGGCGAAAGCCUGAUGCAGCAACGCCGCGUGAAGGAAGACGGUUUUCGGAUUGUAAACUUCUAUCAAUAGGGAAGAAAGAAAUGACGGUACCUAAAUAAGAAGCCCCGGCUAACUACGUGCCAGCAGCCGCGGUAAUACGUAGGGGGCAAGCGUUAUCCGGAAUUACUGGGUGUAAAGGGAGAGUAGGCGGCAAGGCAAGCGAUAUGUGAAAGCCUUAAGCUUAACUUAAGGAUUGCAUAACGAACUAUCUAGCUAGAGUACAGGAGAGGAAAGCGGAAUUCCUAGUGUAGCGGUGAAAUGCGUAGAUAUUAGGAAGAACACCAGUGGCGAAGGCGGCUUUCUGGACUGAAACUGACGCUGAGGCUCGAAAGCGUGGGGAGCGAACAGGAUUAGAUACCCUGGUAGUCCACGCUGUAAACGAUGAGUGCUAGGUGUCGGGGAGGAAUUCCCGGUGCCGGAGC